AAGUCGUAACAAGGUUUCCGUAGGUGAACCUGUGGAAGGUAUCCAACGUUAAACAACCCUGUGAACCUUAAGUCCCCUCUUGCAGCCCAUGAGGAACAGCAAUCCCGGUAAAUCAUUGCCAAACAGUUUUGAUUCGGCCUCUGUCCAAAAGGAGUUGCAAUCGAAGGGUGGAAGCAGUGGCAUGGCUUCCCCAAGCAGUUAGUGCUGUGUCACUGACUGUGUAAGGAUAACGCCUCACGGUUGCUAGGUCGAUCAACCGCGCAGACAUGUCCCAGGGUCACCACGCCCCUUAAUCACUCCACUUGAAAAUGCGUGGUAACGCGCUAGGUAAAAACCGAACAACGUUAACAGGUUCUC
This 357-nucleotide unclassified non-coding RNA is filed under the name fungal sp. Its description in RNAcentral is "partial internal transcribed spacer region". Lineage: Eukaryota; Fungi. The record is from RNAcentral.